RNAcentral lists this transfer RNA (24 nucleotides) under Iguana iguana (Common green iguana). RNAcentral describes it as "partial tRNA-Ser". Lineage: Eukaryota; Metazoa; Chordata; Lepidosauria; Squamata; Iguanidae. The record is from RNAcentral. RNAcentral also lists the same sequence under 5 other names.
GAGAGGUGUUUAGAACACUAAGAA